RNAcentral lists this transfer RNA (72 nucleotides) under Ancylostoma caninum (dog hookworm). It matches the Rfam family "tRNA". From Rfam's summary of the family: Transfer RNA (tRNA) molecules are approximately 80 nucleotides in length. Lineage: Eukaryota; Metazoa; Nematoda; Chromadorea; Rhabditida; Ancylostomatidae. The record is from Rfam by way of RNAcentral.
GCCUCACUGGCUUAGUGGCAAGGGGUCUGUCUCGUAAACAGAAGGUCGCUGGUUCGAUUCCAGCAUGGGGCA